CAGGCCUAACACAUGCAAGUCGAACGCCCCGCAAGGGGAGUGGCAGACGGGUGAGUAACACGUGGGAACGUACCCUUUGGUUCGGAACAACCCUGGGAAACUAGGGCUAAUACCGGAUACGCGCGAGAGCGGAAAGGUUUACCGCCGAAGGAUCGGCCCGCGUCUGAUUAGCUAGUUGGUGAGGUAACGGCUCACCAAGGCGACGAUCAGUAGCUGGUCUGAGAGGAUGAUCAGCCACAUUGGGACUGAGACACGGCCCAAACUCCUACGGGAGGCAGCAGUGGGGAAUAUUGGACAAUGGGCGCAAGCCUGAUCCAGCCAUGCCGCGUGAGUGAUGACGGCCCUAGGGUUGUAAAGCUCUUUUACCUGGGAAGAUAAUGACGGUACCAGGAGAAUAAGCCCCGGCUAACUUCGUGCCAGCAGCCGCGGUAAU
Molecule: ribosomal RNA, 433 nt
Filed under: uncultured bacterium
Lineage: Bacteria
Description: bacterial SSU rRNA
Rfam family: Bacterial small subunit ribosomal RNA
Source: RNAcentral